RNAcentral lists this ribosomal RNA (253 nucleotides) under uncultured bacterium. RNAcentral's name for it is "partial 16S ribosomal RNA". It matches the Rfam family "Bacterial small subunit ribosomal RNA", at positions 524 to 776 of the family's 1533-position model. The record is from RNAcentral.
UACGUAGGGGGCAAGCGUUAUCCGGAUUUACUGGGUGUAAAGGGAGCGUAGACGGCGAUGCAAGCCUGGAGUGAAAGGCGGGGGCUCAACCCCCGGACUGCUUUGGGAACUGCAUGGCUGGAGUGUCGGAGAGGCAGGCGGAAUUCCUAGUGUAGCGGUGAAAUGCGUAGAUAUUAGGAGGAACACCAGUGGCGAAGGCGGCUUACUGGACUGUAACUGACGUUGAGGCUCGAAAGCGUGGGGAGCAAACAGG